This 402-nucleotide ribosomal RNA is filed under the name Rhizobium leguminosarum. RNAcentral describes it as "bacterial SSU rRNA". It matches the Rfam family "Bacterial small subunit ribosomal RNA", at positions 22 to 452 of the family's 1533-position model. The record is from RNAcentral. Lineage: Bacteria; Pseudomonadati; Pseudomonadota; Alphaproteobacteria; Hyphomicrobiales; Rhizobiaceae.
GCUCAGAACGAACGCUGGCGGCAGGCUUAACACAUGCAAGUCGAGCGCCCCGCAAGGGGAGCGGCAGACGGGUGAGUAACGCGUGGGAAUCUACCCUUGACUACGGAAUAACGCAGGGAAACUUGUGCUAAUACCGUAUGUGUCCUUCGGGAGAAAGAUUUAUCGGUCAAGGAUGAGCCCGCGUUGGAUUAGCUAGUUGGUGGGGUAAAGGCCUACCAAGGCGACGAUCCAUAGCUGGUCUGAGAGGAUGAUCAGCCACAUUGGGACUGAGACACGGCCCAAACUCCUACGGGAGGCAGCKAGUGGGGAAUAUUGGACKAAUGGGCGCAAGCCUGAUCCAGCCAUGCCGCGUGAGUGAUGAAGGCCCUAGGGUUGUAAAGCUCUUUCACCGGAGAAGAUAAU